Molecule: long non-coding RNA, 915 nt
Filed under: Rattus norvegicus (Norway rat)
Lineage: Eukaryota; Metazoa; Chordata; Mammalia; Rodentia; Muridae
Description: long non-coding RNA NONRATT012519
Source: RNAcentral
AAAAAUACUGAAUGAACUUUCCUCUGAUGUGCCUGGUAUUCCCAAGAUUGAAGAAGAAAAAUCAGAGGAAGAAGGGACACCACCUAACAUUGCUACCAUGGCAGUACCAACUAGCAUAUAUCAGACUAGCACGGGGCAAUACAGUAUGUAUGCUACAAUUCCAUAGACACAGUGCUAGCUUUAAGUCUUCCUAUUACAGUGAAGCGGUGUGGGUGUGGGCAUCCAAAUGUUUCAUUAACAACUGUGAAUCAUUAACAACUGUGUGUCACAGAAUAAAAAGUGCAUGUUAAAGCAGUAAGAUAUUUGUACUGACAGCUGAAAAGUCUUUAUUGCUGAGUGUGCAUGAUAAGUGGUUAAAAAUUAAAGAAAGGGUUCCUAUUUACAUGUUUAUAUUCCUCUCAAGUAACAAUUUGAAAAGUUCUUGUUUUUGUUGUCUUUCUGCUAUAAAUGUCUGUAUUUCAUUGUCGAUGGCAUUUGUUGCCAGCGACUUAUUAUACUUAAUCAUAUAAUAAGAGGUAAAUAUGUUUUCUAAGUUGUGCUUUAAAUGUAAUUUCAUUUCAUUACUUUGUUAAUUUGUGCUGCAGUUUUUCUAAAAGAACAAAAAAUUAUUUAACUUUCAAACUGUAGCAAUUGGAUAGAUCAUUUUAUUUGAACUUUACACACUGGAAGCUCUAAUAAACAGAUACAUUGGCAUUUAGACUUGUGCAUUUUAAUGUAUUGUUACUUCUGUGCUUUUUGAAAUUCUUACUAAAGCACUAAUGAUUUUCCCAAGUCAAGCACAUUUGACAGACAAGAAUAAUGCGACCUAGAAAGCAAAGUAGAAAGGAAGAAAGGAAACCAGAGGAAACAACUUCUUGGGUCUUUGGGGAUGUAUGUAAUGUUAUAUACUGUGUCUAAAUAAAGUGCAAAGACUAU